AACGCACAUUGCGCCCGCCAGUAUCCUGGCGGGCAUGCCUGUUCGAGCGUCAUUUCCACCCUCAGGCCCUGCCUGGUGUUGGGGGCCUGCGCACGCAGCCCCUGAAAGACAGCGGCGGUCCCGAUCUCAGGUCCCGAGCGUAGUACUAUACGUCGCUCCGGGCGCCUGGCGGGCUCCGGCCGUAAGCCUCUUUUUUACAAGGUUGACCUCGGAUCAGGUAGGAAUACCCGCUGAACUUAA
This 240-nucleotide unclassified non-coding RNA is filed under the name uncultured fungus. RNAcentral describes it as "partial contains 5.8S ribosomal RNA, internal transcribed spacer 2, and large subunit ribosomal RNA". The stretch from base 1 to 52 matches the Rfam family "5.8S ribosomal RNA", at positions 103 to 154 of the family's 154-position model. The record is from RNAcentral. Lineage: Eukaryota; Fungi.